Molecule: long non-coding RNA, 4725 nt
Organism: Olea europaea var. sylvestris
Lineage: Eukaryota; Viridiplantae; Streptophyta; Magnoliopsida; Lamiales; Oleaceae
Exons: 7
Source: RefSeq, a predicted model, not a curated record
CGUAUAAAAAAUAUGAUGGUAAUAUUUUACUUGUUCAUGCAGACGAAAAUGCUUCGAUUGAGGAUGGGUACAGAGCGUAUGUGCAUGCCUUCUCUUACGGUCGAAUAGUUUGUGGAAGCUGUAAAAGAAAUUGUUUUAGCAAUUAGAAGAUGGGUUCCCCCACAAGAGCUCAUGCGAAAGAAUAAGAGGAUGCUUGAUGAAUCCAUCCAAGAUAUCAAGAGGGAAAUACAGGGUUUACAAGCUCAAAAAAAAAACAAAUUGUUGAGAUUAAAAAAAAUGGCAAGGGCAUAUGUGUAUGAACCAACCAGAAGAAGUAAGUAACUCGUCCAAAUUGAAAGCUUAAAUAACAGAAGUGAAAGGGAUAGUGAUGCACAAUAUUGAGAUGGUACAACAGAAGGCAUCGAAAGCUCAAGCCUAAGAGGCUGCUACAAGAGUCGUGAAAGAGACCUUCCCGCAAGCCUCUUGGUUCGCAACCUUCAACGUGAUUGCAGGCCCACUAUUGUUCUUGUAAUUGUUCAACUUUCUACGAGCUGUUUUCUUGUUAUUGAAAUUAGUUUAAAAGCAUUGAUAUCUCCUUCAUAAUUUUUUUGACUUCACUGCCAUGCCUUGGAGAUAUAUCUUCCGCAUUAUAAAUACUCUUUGUUGCAUAAAGCAUUAUUUCCUAUUUUUUUGCAUUUAGUUACUGGUAUUUUAUGUGUAUUGAUUAUGUAUGAGUAUAUGAAGCUAAUCUGUCCACAAAUAUUUUGCAUGCCAUACUGGUUGGAUGUACAAAGUUAUUUCAUUAGACGUGCUUAUUUUGAUUCCGUGUAUAUCCAAUCCCAUGUUCAUAUUAAUGUGUGGUUUUAUAUGUAUCAACUUCUGUGACUAAAAUAUCAAAUAUGUACCUUAGUUCAUGUGCACAAGAAAAUUUCCAGCCCAAGAAGAAUCUCACACCGGCAUAAUGACAUUUAGGAAUAUAUUAUUUAGGGUGAAUUCAGCCAUGAAUUUCAUUUACAAAGCAUAUGUCCAAAUACUAAGAAUUAGUAAUUGCCUAAGAUUUAAGUGAGAAUUUACUGAACUUUCUAAAUAAUUUCAUAAAUAUUCGACACGCUAGCAUUACCUUCAAAAUAAUACAACUUGUGCAUUGCACGGGGCAUAAGACUAGUAUAUAUAUGAGAGGCACUUUGGGUUUCACCAUUCAUUUUUGUAACCUUCCUUUUCACACCUGAAGAGUUCAUCUACUAUUUACUAACUGGUUUUUUACUGUUCAUUAAAUAAUCCCGAGAGAAUGCUACUUUACUGUUCAUCUAUGAGUUUUGCUUCACAUUUCACUGUUCAUUUGAUAAUUCGUGUAUAGACAAAAAAGGGCAACAAUUGUUGACUGAGGAAGUGGGAUAUGACUGUUGGGUAGCUUCUCAAAUACGUUUUCUCGUUCUUUUUCUCACUGUACUGUACAUAUGGGCAAAUAUCUUGCUUGCCUCAGCUGUUCAUUCAGAAGACUUCGUUUUAGACCUCUCCGAUUCUGACUUCGUUUUAGACCUCUCCGAUUCUUACUGUUCAUUAACAAGUUUUGUACUGUUUACUAAAUAUCUCUUUUGUUAGUUCAAUGGUCCACUUGUCUCGCACGUUUAAGCCUUUUACAGUCUCUCCCUUCCCUAUUCUUUUUCUUUUUGCUCUCGUGUUGAGGAAAAUUAUUGUUUAAAGCUCACGGUGAUGAAGAAAUCUAACUCAAAAGUGAUAGUGAAAGCCAAUCUGAUGAACUAGAUGAAGCAGCAGCAGAAAAUGCUGAGUUGAAAGAUGAAAAAUUCUACCAGAGUGCUGUUUAAGUGCUUCGAAAAUCAAGAAAUGUAAAGCCUGUUUAAGGAAAAAGACAUUUGGACUGAAGCAACUACGAUGAGAGAUAGAUGCAGCCAGUGUUCCCGGGUAUUGGAGGACGAAGGUGUUGGUAAUUCCGACUUCGAACUUUGACCUGUGAAUGGCAGAGGCUGACUGGGGAGGGAUUUUGUAUGGAAGGCGAGGUGUUCUUAGUGUUUCCAGCGAACGAGCAAGUAACUAGCAGGGAUUACAAACUGAAGCAAAGAAAGAAAUGAAGUCGAGGAUUCUAAGCUCAAAGUUGAACUGUUUUUUGCCCAUUCUUUUUCUUUCUUUCUUUUUUAUUUUUAUUUUUUGGUAGGGAAUGAUCUGAUUGUUUUUGUUAUUUAAGUUGGGUUUUUAUGGUGAUCUAAUUCAAACUGAAUCUUCAUAUUGGAAUGUAUGGGGAUGAACGAUGUCCUAAUUUAGUUGGUAAUUUACUGUCUUAUUGGAUAAAUUGGUUUCAUUUGUUCAUAUUUUGUCUCCUUGUUAUAUUUAAAGUUAAAAAAUGCAAGAUCACUGUAUUCUUUUGAAUGUUUAGGAGGUCUAAUUUUGGGAAAAAGCUACUUCCAAUAAUUAGAUGGAAAUCCAACAAAAGAGUCAAUAUUAUUUUACAUUUAUGUGGAAUUAGAUAUGUUUAAAAAAUAUGGCCUUUACUAUAAUUCCUUAGAAUCCCUGUAUUAGAAGCUUCCCAAACCUUUUAAAAUUGAUGUUUACCUCCUGGACAGAGUCUAAGGUCCAGUUGUUUGUCAUGCUAUUAUAUCUUUUAUAACAUUAAACGAAGAUUAUGCUUCAAACAUGGUUGUGUUUAAAGAUUUGGUGAUGAAGACUAAUGGAUUCAUAAUAGCAGUUAGGAACAGUAGUCAAUGAUGGCUAACAUGAGUAUGUUAUUAAUUAAGUUUAAGCUCAUUACAUACUGUGGAGUUUUUAUUGCAUAUUCAUUGCAUAAUCAUAACGUUGGCCACUAUAUUUACUCCAUAAUAAGAGUUGAAAGAAUGUUUUCAUAGGGAAACAAAUCUUUCAACCCUUAAAUACACACACACACACACAUACUUGGACAUUUAAAUGUAGACUUAAAUUCUUGGCAUCCCAUAAUCAAAUUAUUUCCUAUCAAGUGCACUGCCGUUUAAAUCAUUGUUCAUGAUCUGACUUUAUUUUGCUUCAUUAUUUGCAGAUAUGUGUUAUAACAGGUACAUCAACUGGUUUUGAUCAGACAGUGCCAUGGAUGUUCUAUCAUAAAGUUAUUGGGGUAUCAAUCUUUUUCCUUUUUGUUGAAGGGAAGGCUGCAUCUCUUGCUAUCUCCAAAGUCCUUGAAUAUAUUCCUAUGAGUUUUUUUCCUGCAUGUACUCUUCAUCUAUUCUUUUGAUCAAGUAACUACUCUUUUUAAGGCUGAUAUAAUCACUUUGCAUUUGCAACACAAUCUACUUAAAUAUUAUGUCAUAAAAUACUUUCUUUACCUUAAAAGGAAAAGAAAAAUACACCUGCAAACUAUGUUGGUCUUCAAGGGAAUUGUAGAGAGGUGCAAAAUAGAAAGAUGUUUAGAUUGAUUUUUGGUCAACUAUAUAAACUAUGUUGUGAAAAAAAAUAUUUCACGUGUUGUUUCCUUGUGCAAUCAUUUACACUUAACGUCUAUCACUUAGUUUAAAUAAUAACAAAUGCCUCCUUGCAAGUGGAAAAUUGCAUUGCUAUCCCAUGAUCUUUUAUUGCAGCUAGAUCCCUGCGCCAUGUUAUUCUAUUUGCUGGUAUUAACUCAUUGAAAGUAUUUUAUGCACUAGAAAUAUUUCUUGAAACUUGACAAUAGGUUUUGAGUUAUGUGCACCUCGAAUGUAAAUGUAUUUAAUUAUAUAGGAGAUAGUUCUGCCUUUCUUUUUUUUUCUGAAGUCUGUUAAUGCAUUGUUGUAAAAUGAGUUUGUGCAUUUUUUUUAUUUUUUAUUUUUGUGACAAUAUUGUUAAUUAUUAUCUAGAUAAAUCCAAAGAAGGAAUAUUCAUUUGUUACUGAAAGAGUGCCUAUUUAGAGAUAAAAUACAAAUUGUGCAACAGCAAGUGAACCGAAAUUGUUACUUUUAAUAUUAUGUGAUACAUAAAUACAGAAUGCUCUCUCUUCACCUGAAGAAGUUUGAGUCUUAAUUAUCCUCCAUGAGUAACAAGCUAAAUUUUUCCACUCUUUUCACUUGUUAGAUUCUUAACACCGGUGUUAUGGACUGUGCUACAAUAGUUUGUCUUACUAAAUUGUUUAUGAUUUAAUGAUGUAGGUAUUCCUUAUAAUACUAAUCAUAAGAAUUGUUCUCCAAUUUAAACAUGCUACCAAUUGUUAUAUUAUAUUCUCUGAUCUACUAAGAGCUAUUUGCGAAUUUUUUACCUAUUUUUUGUUCACAAGUUAUAUAAACUCUUUCUAUCAUUGUCCUCUUUCCUGUUGAUUCUUCUGUUGAAUUGAUUUACUUCCUUGACUGUUGUUACGGAACCUUUUCAUAUGCCUUUGUAAGACCAAUUCCACGGUCAAUACUUAUUUGGUAAUUUUUCCAGGUUUUAGAAUUGCAAGCAACAAUGAUGGAGAUUAUGGAAGUUGCUGAUUUAUAAAAGCAGAAACAUAAUAAAACUCAAAUGAAAGCACUUGUGAGAUUGUCAAAACUUGAGAAUUGAGAAUGAAAAUAUCAGCUACGCGUCAAAAAUGGGACAACCUGGUGGCUUCAAAACGUGUCGAAUUUGAAAGGAAGAUGCUUAAGGCAAAGUAUUACUGUAACUAAUAAAGUGGAACAAGUAAAGGUGACAUACUUCCUUUUCUAUUGAACAUUAUUUGUAUAUUUGACGUUGUCCUGGAAGUAUACGAAUCUUUGUAGAACUAUCAUAUAUCUUGUUCAGUGUAUUACAAAUUUUAAUAUAGAAUGUGCUUCUUAA